CCUACGGGCGGCAGCAGUAGGGAAUCUUGCACAAUGGGGGAAACCCUGAUGCAGCAACGCCGCGUGGAGGAUGAAGGUUUUCGGAUCGUAAACUCCUGUUGUUAGAGAAGAAAGUGACGGUAUCUAACGAAUCAGCCCCGGCUAACUCCGUGCCAGCAGCCGCGGUAAUACGUAGGGGGCAAGCGUUAUUCGGAAUGACUGGGCGUAACGUGAGCGUAGGCGGGCUUGCAAGUCUGAUGUGAAAGCCUUGGGCUUAACCAGAGGACUGCAUUUGAAACUGUGAGGCUGGAGUGUGGGAGAGGUAAGUGGAAUUCCUGGUGUAGCGGUGAAAUGCGUAGAUAUCAGGAGGAACACCAGUGGCGAAGGCGGCUUGCUGGACGAUAACUGACGCUGAGGCUCGAAAGCGUGGGGAGCAAACAGGAUUAGAUACCCCGGUAGUC
This 440-nucleotide ribosomal RNA is filed under the name uncultured bacterium. RNAcentral describes it as "partial 16S ribosomal RNA". It matches the Rfam family "Bacterial small subunit ribosomal RNA", at positions 338 to 795 of the family's 1533-position model. The record is from RNAcentral.